This 460-nucleotide ribosomal RNA is filed under the name uncultured bacterium. RNAcentral describes it as "partial 16S ribosomal RNA". It matches the Rfam family "Bacterial small subunit ribosomal RNA", at positions 338 to 795 of the family's 1533-position model. The record is from RNAcentral.
CCUACGGGUGGCAGCAGUGAGGAAUAUUGGUCAAUGGGCGCGAGCCUGAACCAGCCAAGUAGCGUGAAGGAUGACUGCCCUACGGGUUGUAAACUUCUUUUAUAAAGGAAUAAAGUGAGGCACGUGUGCCUUUUUGUAUGUACUUUAUGAAUAAGGAUCGGCUAACUCCGUGCCAGCAGCCGCGGUAAUACGGAGGAUCCGAGCGUUAUCCGGAUUUAUUGGGUUUAAAGGGAGCGUAGAUGGGUUGUUAAGUCAGUUGGGAAAGUUUGCGGCUCAACCGUAAAAUUGCAGUUGAUACUGGCAGCCUUGAGUACAGUUGAGGUAGGCGGAAUUCGUGGUGUAGCGGUGAAAUGCUUAGAUAUCAGGAGGAACACCAGUUGUGAAGGCAGCCUACUGGACUGAGACUGACGUUGAUGCUCGAAAGUGUGGGGAGCAAACAGGAUUAGAUACCCUGGUAGUC